Molecule: ribosomal RNA, 286 nt
Filed under: uncultured bacterium
Lineage: Bacteria
Description: partial 16S ribosomal RNA
Rfam family: Bacterial small subunit ribosomal RNA
Source: RNAcentral
UACGUAGGGUGCAAGCGUUAAUCGGAAUUACUGGGCGUAAAGCGUGCGCAGGCGGUUUUGUAAGCCAGAUGUGAAAGCCCCGGCUCAACCUGGGAAUUGCGAUGAAGACUGCAAGGCUUGAAUCUGGCAGAGGGGGGUAGGAAUUCCACGUGUAGCAGUGAAAUGCGUAGAGAUGUGGAGGAACACCGAUGGCGAAGGCAGCCCCCUGGGUCAAGAUUGACGCUCAUGCACGAAAGCGUGGGGAGCAAACCAGGAUUAGAUACCCCAGUAGUCCCUGAACUGCCAA